UCCAAUAUCAAGAGGAAUGAAACUGAGAAUUAUAGAAAACCAGUGCCUGCAUGACAGUGGUGCAAGAGAUUAUGAGCAAUAGCAUCCCUGGCCUUCAUUGAAUUUACUGAUCUAAUAGCAACCUCAGGCACCGUCUCAUCAUCAACAAGCUCAAUAUUCAGCUUUGGAUCCAGUUCCUCUUCACGCAUUUCACAGAUAUUAUGCAACACACAGCAU
Molecule: unclassified non-coding RNA, 216 nt
Filed under: Hevea brasiliensis (rubber tree)
Lineage: Eukaryota; Viridiplantae; Streptophyta; Magnoliopsida; Malpighiales; Euphorbiaceae
Source: RNAcentral